This 801-nucleotide long non-coding RNA is filed under the name Phoenix dactylifera (date palm). RNAcentral's name for it is "long non-coding RNA (PDAC_LNC011633)". Lineage: Eukaryota; Viridiplantae; Streptophyta; Magnoliopsida; Arecales; Arecaceae. The record is from RNAcentral.
GGCUUGACAAAUCAAAUAUGACUCUUGCACCGAAGUUAUAACUGAACCAAGAAAACAAUAUUACAAUGAUCUAACUAUUCAACCCAUAUGCUCGCAAGGUUAUCUGAUAGGAUAAGAUUGGGACUUCACUUUAAGAGCUACGUACAUGAUUAACUGCUGACUAAUAAAAACUUGACAUAUCAUAGAUGAUCAUUCCACCGAAGUUACAAUUGAUCCACAAAAUGCUAUUGUGAUGAACUCAACAGAAAUUAGAAUAUCAUAAGAUCAGUCCAUCCAUGUGAUAAUGCAACAAUUUUCGAAUUUUCAAUUAGUUCCUUCAAUAUAACUGCAAUACAUACACACACACACACAUACAAUAAUACAUAUCAAAAAGAAAUACCAAAGUCAUUUGAUAAACCACUAAACCUGGAUAUAAUUAUUAGAUCCAUCUUAUUAACCAAGCUAGAUAUUCUUCCUAACCAAGUAGUGGAUUUUUUUGUUAAGCAUCUUAUACAUCAUCAUACACCAUAGAAUGUUCAUCUGUGAGUUGGUCUGCACAAUGAUCGUAAAGUUUCAGUGAAUAAUACUAGCGCAGAUGGAUCCCUCGGGUCAAAGACAUUGAAAGAACAUCAUUCAACCAGAUCAUAUUGUCUCUUAAUAGUGCUGUAUCGACAAAACAUUCUUAAGGCAGCCUAUGAACCUUUAUAGACAUUCCCAAGUGUUUGUCCAAAGUCAACCCUUCUAGCAAGUGAGAAAAGUUUCUAACUUGCUACCAUCUGAUCAUCACUAUACUCUGUAAGCAGCCAUAUGAAUGAGUAAUUC